RNAcentral lists this ribosomal RNA (1347 nucleotides) under uncultured bacterium. RNAcentral describes it as "partial 16S ribosomal RNA". It matches the Rfam family "Bacterial small subunit ribosomal RNA", at positions 28 to 1381 of the family's 1533-position model. The record is from RNAcentral.
GACGAACGCUGGUUUGCGUGCUUAACACAUGCAAGUCGAACGGAAAGGCCCUGCUUUUGUGGGGUGCUCGAGUGGCGAACGGGUGAGUAACACGUGAGUAACCUGCCCUUGACUUUGGGAUAACUUCAGGAAACUGGGGCUAAUACCGGAUAGGAGCUCCUGCUGCAUGGUGGGGGUUGGAAAGUUUCGGCGGUUGGGGAUGGACUCGCGGCUUAUCAGCUUGUUGGUGGGGUAGUGGCUUACCAAGGCUUUGACGGGUAGCCGGCCUGAGAGGGUGACCGGCCACAUUGGGACUGAGAUACGGCCCAGACUCCUACGGGAGGCAGCAGUGGGGAAUAUUGCACAAUGGGCGGAAGCCUGAUGCAGCAACGCCGCGUGCGGGAUGACGGCCUUCGGGUUGUAAACCGCUUUCGCCUGUGACGAAGCGUGAGUGACGGUAAUGGGUAAAGAAGCACCGGCUAACUACGUGCCAGCAGCCGCGGUGAUACGUAGGGUGCGAGCGUUGUCCGGAUUUAUUGGGCGUAAAGGGCUCGUAGGUGGUUGAUCGCGUCGGAAGUGUAAUCUUGGGGCUUAACCCUGAGCGUGCUUUCGAUACGGGUUGACUUGAGGAAGGUAGGGGAGAAUGGAAUUCCUGGUGGAGCGGUGGAAUGCGCAGAUAUCAGGAGGAACACCAGUGGCGAAGGCGGUUCUCUGGGCCUUUCCUGACGCUGAGGAGCUAAAGCGUGGGGAGCGAACAGGCUUAGAUACCCUGGUAGUCCACGCUGUAAACGGUGGGUACUAGGUGUGGGGUCCAUUCCACGGGUUCCGUGCCGUAGCUAACGCUUUAAGUACCCCGCCUGGGGAGUACGGCCGCAAGGCUAAAACUCAAAGGAAUUGACGGGGCCCCGCACAAGCGGCGGAGCAUGCGGAUUAAUUCGAUGCAACGCGUAGAACCUUACCUGGGUUUGACAUGGAUCGGGAGUGCUCAGAGAUGGGUGUGCCUCUUUUGGGGUCGGUUCACAGGUGGUGCAUGGCUGUCGUCAGCUCGUGUCGUGAGAUGUUGGGUUAAGUCCCGCAACGAGCGCAACCCUUGUUCACUGUUGCCAGCACGUUAUGGUGGGGACUCAGUGGAGACCGCCGGGGUCAACUCGGAGGAAGGUGGGGAUGACGUCAAGUCAUCAUGCCCCUUACGUCCAGGGCUUCACGCAUGCUACAAUGGCUGGUACAGAGAGUGGCGAGCCUGUGAGGGUGAGCGAAUCUCGGAAAGCCGGUCUCAGUUCGGAUUGGGGUCUGCAACUCGACCUCAUGAAGUCGGAGUCGCUAGUAAUCGCAGAUCAGCAACGCUGCGGUGAAUACGUUCCCGGGGCU